Papaver somniferum (opium poppy) is the source of this 1730-nucleotide long non-coding RNA. RefSeq lists it as uncharacterized. The transcript has 5 exons. Lineage: Eukaryota; Viridiplantae; Streptophyta; Magnoliopsida; Ranunculales; Papaveraceae. The record is from RefSeq and is a predicted model, not a curated record.
CUGGGUGCCCCUAAGAAGACACUCUUCCACCAUCGAAUUUCCUCAACUUUCCUCUUCAUUUCCCGCCAUUAAUUCUUCGGGGUUUUUCUUGAUUGAUAAUUGGUAAUUAGGGUAUUGAAAGAUGAAACGUAGAAGGUAGUAGAUAUGAAAGAUGCUUGCUGAGAUGACGAUGUAUUUCGAAUUGCGUUGGAUGAGAAGCUGAGGAAAGCUGUUGAAUCUUUCAAGGGAAAUAUUUGGAAGCGAAUAGCUGCUAGUUUACCUAGUAGAAGAGAAGAGCAAUGUCUGCAUUGAUGGCGAAAGGUUCUUCAUCCAGACCUGGUUAAGGGACAAUGGACCCUAGAGGAAGAUGAUAAAUUCAUGGAGUUGGUCUAUGGACCCUCGCCGUUAUAGCAAAAGAGUUUCCAGGUCGCACAGGAAAGCAAUGCCGAGAAAGGUAGCCAUGAUGAGCUGUUCAUAUAGCGCCAGUAGGUUGUAUUCAAGUAAGCGGUCAUUCAUUGCAUGCGUACUGUCAGAUAGUCAAGGAAAAUAAUAUGUGCAGUUUCAGGUGGCACAACCAUUUGAACCAGGAGAAUAAGAGAGAUGGUUGGACCGUGGAGGCAGAACUUGCACUCAUGAAUGGUUCUGUUCCACCCCUUUAUCCCUGACUAGGUGAGGAGGGUCUAAUUGGUGUACUAGCAACUGUAUCCAGUUUUUCUGAUGGUCUUGAAUGCAGACAACUGGCAUCAGAGCAUGAGUUUAGUGUAGCAAAUUAAACUCGCAACCAAACUUGGUCAGACAGAGAAGCAAAGCAGAAGGUGAUCUAGAUGAAAGUAUUGCUGGAAUACCACUACCAACUGCUGAUCCAGUCAUCACUUCUUUUCAGAAUGAAGUAUUGGACUUGAACUUGAUUAUUUCACCUACCGUUUGCUGCUAAUAGGUUUUCAAUCACUAACUCCAUAUAAGAAAAAGAGAGGCUAGUGGUACUCUGAAUUGGAAUGAGCGAGGUAAAAGAUGAAAAAGACAAGAGUUUGCAUUCAUAAGAAAGAAUGCAUGAAAGAUAGAACAAAUAAAACUUACUUUAGUGAGGAGAUCCCUAGAUCAGAGGAUGUGAUUUGCAAGAGUGACAAUUCUGCUUGCCGUGGUAAUGACACUGUUAGCUGUUUUACACCUGGAGGCCUGUCCAUACGGAUGGGUCAUUCUAUUCCUGGAAGGCUUGUUUUUAUUGCUCAAGGCUGACGUUUUCUGGUCUUUAGGGAUUAAAAUUAGGCACAAAAUGAAGAAAAGUUGCUCCUAAAUUAAAGAAAAAGAACAGAUGAAUGACGAUUCUGCUUGUCAUGCUAAUGAUGGCAUUAGACUGUUCUAGUGAUCAAAGGAUUCAUUCUCAUGUCAGCCCGGCUUGUUCAUGAGCAACGAAGAUUUCUUGGCCUGAUUGGAUAUUCUGAGUACUUUCUGGAAUACUGUAUAACUCUGGUUCUACAGAUAGGGUAUUAUUAAAUUACUGCUCAGUACUAUUUGAUUUAUUUUUCCAAUAAUAUUUUUUUCCUCUUUCUGAAUUAGGUAACGUUUGUAAUUGGAAACCUUAACCUACAGCGACUGACGAAUCAACUGCACAUACAUUUGAUCAUCGGUGCGCUUUCUAACAUAUGUUUACUUGUGUACUUUUCAUAUCUGUUUACAAGAAAAUGGGUGAAAUAGAUGUGUAUUGCAAAUGAUGUUAUCACAGAAAUUCAACUUAUUUAUGACGAGAAUAA